GACGAACGCUGGCGGCGUGCUUAACACAUGCAAGUCGAACGAAAAGGCCCUGCUUGCAGGUUACUCGAGUUGCCAACGGGUGAGUAACACGUGGGUGAUCUGCCCUGCACUUCGGGUUAGGCCUGGUCAACUGGGUGUAAUACCUGAUAGAAGCCAUUUUUAGUGGGAUGGUUGAAAAGUUUUUUCGGUUUUGGCUGAGCUCUCGGCCUAUCAGCUUGUUGGUGGGGUAAUGUCGUACCGAGGCGGCGACGGGUAGCCGGCCUGAGAGGCUGGACGGCCACAUUGGGACCGAGAGACGGCACAGACUGCUAAGGGAGGGAGAAGUGGGGAAUAUUGAACAAGGGGCGCAAGCCUGAUGAAGAGACGCCGCGGGGGGGAUGACGGUCUUAGGGUUGUAAAACACAUUCGCUAGGGACGAAGCUUUUUGUGACGGUACCUAGACAAGAAGCAACGGCUAACUACGUG
This 465-nucleotide ribosomal RNA is filed under the name uncultured bacterium. RNAcentral describes it as "partial 16S ribosomal RNA". It matches the Rfam family "Bacterial small subunit ribosomal RNA", at positions 28 to 507 of the family's 1533-position model. The record is from RNAcentral.